CACGUAGGGUGCGAGCGUUGUCCGGAAUUAUUGGGCGUAAAGAGCCCGUAGGCGGUGUGUCGCGUCGGCCGUGAAAACCUGCAGCUUAACUGUGGGCUUGCGGUCGAUACGGGCAUCACUGGAGUUCGGCAGGGGAGACUGGAAUUCCUGGUGUAGCGGUGAAAUGCGCAGAUAUCAGGAGGAACACCGGUGGCGAAGGUGGGUCUCUGGGCCGAUACUGACGCUGAGGAGCGAAAGCGUGGGGAGCGAACAGG
This 254-nucleotide ribosomal RNA is filed under the name uncultured bacterium. RNAcentral's name for it is "partial 16S ribosomal RNA". It matches the Rfam family "Bacterial small subunit ribosomal RNA", at positions 524 to 776 of the family's 1533-position model. The record is from RNAcentral.